This 253-nucleotide ribosomal RNA is filed under the name uncultured bacterium. Its description in RNAcentral is "partial 16S ribosomal RNA". It matches the Rfam family "Bacterial small subunit ribosomal RNA", at positions 524 to 776 of the family's 1533-position model. The record is from RNAcentral.
UACGGAGGGUGCAAGCGUUAUCCGGAUUCACUGGGUUUAAAGGGUGCGUAGGUGGGUAUGUAAGUCAGAGGUGAAAUCCCCGAGCUUAACUUGGGAACUGCCUUUGAUACUAUAUAUCUUGAAUGUCGUAGAGGUAAGCGGAAUAUGUCAUGUAGCGGUGAAAUGCUUAGAUAUGACAUAGAACACCAAUUGCGAAGGCAGCUUACUAUGCGAUUAUUGACACUGAGGCACGAAAGCGUGGGUAGCAAACAGG